This 514-nucleotide ribosomal RNA is filed under the name uncultured bacterium. Its description in RNAcentral is "partial 16S ribosomal RNA". It matches the Rfam family "Bacterial small subunit ribosomal RNA", at positions 28 to 523 of the family's 1533-position model. The record is from RNAcentral.
GACGAACGCUGGCGGCGUGCCUAAUACAUGCAAGUCGAGCGGACCGAAGGGAGCUUGCUCCUUUAGGUUAGCGGCGGACGGGUGAGUAACACGUGGGCAACCUGCCCUGCAGAUUGGGAUAACUUCGGGAAACCGGAGCUAAUACCGGAUAACACCGAAAACCGCAUGGUUUUCGGUUGAAAGGCGGCUUUUAGCUGUCACUGCAGGAUGGGCCCGCGGCGCAUUAGCUAGUUGGUGAGGUAACGGCUCACCAAGGCGACGAUGCGUAGCCGACCUGAGAGGGUGACCGGCCACACUGGGACUGAGACACGGCCCAGACUCCUACGGGAGGCAGCAGUAGGGAAUCUUCCGCAAUGGACGAAAGUCUGACGGAGCAACGCCGCGUGAGCGAAGAAGGUCUUCGGAUCGUAAAGCUCUGUUGUCAGGGAAGAACAAGUACCGUUCGAAUAGGGCGGUACCUUGACGGUACCUGACGAGGAAGCCACGGCUAACUACGUGCCAGCCGCCGCAGUAA